RNAcentral lists this transfer RNA (76 nucleotides) under Schizosaccharomyces pombe (fission yeast). RNAcentral describes it as "tRNA-Trp". It matches the Rfam family "tRNA". From Rfam's summary of the family: Transfer RNA (tRNA) molecules are approximately 80 nucleotides in length. Their secondary structure includes four short double-helical elements and three loops (D, anti-codon, and T loops). Further hydrogen bonds mediate the characteristic L-shaped molecular structure. tRNAs have two regions of fundamental functional importance: the anti-codon, which is responsible for specific mRNA codon recognition, and the 3' end, to which the tRNAs corresponding amino acid is attached (by aminoacyl-tRNA synthetases). tRNAs cope with the degeneracy of the genetic code in two manners: having more than one tRNA (with a specific anti-codon) for a particular amino acid; and 'wobble' base-pairing, i.e. permitting non-standard base-pairing at the 3rd anti-codon position. Lineage: Eukaryota; Fungi; Ascomycota; Schizosaccharomycetes; Schizosaccharomycetales; Schizosaccharomycetaceae. The record is from RNAcentral.
GGCCCCUUAACUCAGUUGGUAGAGUGUGAGAUUCCAAAUCUCAAAGUCAAGUGUUCAAGUCACUUAGGGGUCAUAU